UGCCAGCCGCCGCGGUAAUACGGAGGGGGUUAGCGUUGUUCGGAAUUACUGGGCGUAAAGCGUACGUAGGCGGAUUAAUAAGUUAGAGGUGGAAUCCCAGGGCUCAACCCUGGAACUGCCUUUAAAACUGUUAGUCUUGAGAUCGAGAGAGGUGAGUAGAAUUCCAUGUUUAGGGAUAAGCCCCGUAGAUAUAUGGAGGAACACCUGUGGCGAAGGCGACUCUUUAGUAAAAACUGACGUUGAGGGACGAAAGUGUAGGGAGCAAACAGGAUUAGAUA
RNAcentral lists this ribosomal RNA (278 nucleotides) under uncultured bacterium. Its description in RNAcentral is "partial 16S ribosomal RNA". It matches the Rfam family "Bacterial small subunit ribosomal RNA", at positions 506 to 784 of the family's 1533-position model. The record is from RNAcentral.